GUCUUGUUUGAUGCGGUGUUUAUCAUCGAGUUUGUGUUGAGAGGCCUAAAUCCUAGAUAUAUAAAUGAUUUUAUAAUUGUUCAACCUGUGUUGAGAAAAAUGGUGUUACUGGAUUUGUUUCUGCUUGAAAAUCAGCUACCAUAUUUUGUUCUUGACAUAUUAUAUGCAGAAUUGAAAGAAAAAGAAAAAUUUUUUAAGCUUGUAUGCGACUGCUUCCUGAUAGACAAUCAAAAUCAAGUUUUUAAUUCCUUGGAGGAUGACAAAAUGUUGCAUUUUGUUGGUUUGAUGAGA
Molecule: unclassified non-coding RNA, 291 nt
Filed under: Hevea brasiliensis (rubber tree)
Lineage: Eukaryota; Viridiplantae; Streptophyta; Magnoliopsida; Malpighiales; Euphorbiaceae
Source: RNAcentral